GGAAAAUUGACGAUUCGUAUUUCAUGGGUUUUGAAAACGCAGCUUUUCCUAAAACAAGGAAAAGGGAGCGACGAAGGGUCUUCUGUUCUCUUUUCUCUCUCAUAAAUCCUCACUUUCUCUCUCAUAAAUCCUCACUGCUCAAUUGUUGACCACUACCAACAUCCGCUUUCAUUAACUGCUAAUUAAUCCAUAUCUUAAUCAUAUCUCCGAAACCAAAUACUCUACAACUUAAAAACCUCUCUCUCUCUCUCUCUCU
This 256-nucleotide unclassified non-coding RNA is filed under the name Hevea brasiliensis (rubber tree). The record is from RNAcentral. Lineage: Eukaryota; Viridiplantae; Streptophyta; Magnoliopsida; Malpighiales; Euphorbiaceae.